CACGGGGGUUGCGAGCGUUGUCCGGAAUUACUAGGCGUAAAGGGCAGGCAGGCGGAUCCAUAAGUUUAUCGUUUAAGGCGUCGGCUUAACCGGCGUAGGGCGGUAGAUACUGUGGAUCUGGAAUGCGGUUGGGGAAGACAGAAUUCCUUGUGUAGCGGUGGAAUGCGCAGAGAUCAGGAGGAAUACCGAAGGCGGAGGCAGUCUUCCAAGCCGUUAUUGACGCUCAACUGCGAAGGUGUGGGUAUCAAACAGGAUUAGAUACCCGUCCCUGAGCGGG
This 277-nucleotide ribosomal RNA is filed under the name uncultured prokaryote. Its description in RNAcentral is "partial 16S ribosomal RNA". It matches the Rfam family "Bacterial small subunit ribosomal RNA", at positions 524 to 799 of the family's 1533-position model. The record is from RNAcentral.